CUGUAGAGUUGUUGAGUCGGGAAAAAUAGCGGAGGUGAUUGUUGCAGUCAUGUUAUCAGUAGCGGGUCCCAGCAAGAAAGGAGCAGGCUUGGAAAAUUGUGAAGGAAGAAAGCUGGCAUACCUGGUGAGGAGGCAGGUGUCACGUUACAAGACAGAUGGAAGGGAGACGAUGGCCACUCCAAGAAAAAACAACAACAACAAGAAAGUACUGUAGCUUAUGAGAGGAAAUAAAUGUUCAAGGGCAUAAUUACUAGGGGUCGGACUCGAUACAUGAUUAUUUGAAAACUAUCUAUUGAGGCGACUGGACCAAACUGGCGGCUUUCCAGCUAGCCUGCUGCUACUUGGCCUGCUGCCUACCUAGCCGCUCUAGCAUAACGCUGUGUUGGAUCAACUUUCUCCCAUUAGAUCUGCCGCCGUGCCGCGGUCGCCUUCUCCAGCGAUGGCUCCUUCCGGCUUCCAUGGUGGCGCUUCAAUG
Phyllopteryx taeniolatus (common seadragon) is the source of this 475-nucleotide long non-coding RNA. RefSeq lists it as uncharacterized. Lineage: Eukaryota; Metazoa; Chordata; Actinopteri; Syngnathiformes; Syngnathidae. The transcript has 3 exons. The record is from RefSeq and is a predicted model, not a curated record.